Molecule: ribosomal RNA, 406 nt
Filed under: uncultured bacterium
Lineage: Bacteria
Description: partial 16S ribosomal RNA
Rfam family: Bacterial small subunit ribosomal RNA
Source: RNAcentral
AUUGAACGCUGGCGGCAGGCCUAACACAUGCAAGUCGAACGAGCGGCGGACGGGUUAGUAAUGUCUGGGAAACUGCCUGAUGGAGGGGGAUAACUACUGGAAACGGUAGCUAAUACCGCAUACCCUCGGAUGUGCCCAGACGGGAUUAGCUAGUAGGAGGGGUAAUGGCUCACCUAGGCGACGAUCCCUAGCUGGUCUGAGAGGAUGACCAGUCACACUGGAACUGAGACACGGUCCAGAGGCCUACGGGGGGCAGGAGUGGGGAAUAGUGCACAAUGGGCGCAAGCCUGAUGCAGCCAUGCCGCGUGUAUGAAGAAGGCCUUCGGGUUGUAAAGUACGUUCAGCGGGGAGGCGUUACCCGCAGAAGAAGCACCGGCUAACUCCGUGCCAGCAGCCGCGGUAAUAC